This 158-nucleotide microRNA precursor is filed under the name Populus trichocarpa (black cottonwood). RNAcentral describes it as "MIR2912 microRNA precursor family". It matches the Rfam family "MIR2912 microRNA precursor family". The record is from Rfam by way of RNAcentral. Lineage: Eukaryota; Viridiplantae; Streptophyta; Magnoliopsida; Malpighiales; Salicaceae.
UUUGGACUUCUCGAGAUAUGGGCUGAACACUGAACAGUGUCUGGGCUGUAGGACAUAUUCAGACUUCUCUUUUGAUGCUAAGAUUUGGACUUCCAAACAACAGAAUUGAGUCCUGGACUCUUCCUGAAUGUUUUAGGCCUAUGUCUUAGCUUUCUAGC